This is a long non-coding RNA of Anneissia japonica, 2368 nucleotides long. RefSeq lists it as uncharacterized. NCBI's taxonomy places the organism in Eukaryota, Metazoa, Echinodermata, Crinoidea, Comatulida, Comatulidae. The transcript is spliced from 4 exons. The record is from RefSeq and is a predicted model, not a curated record.
GUAGACCAAACCCAGUACCGUUACGAUUUCAAUCGUACGGGAAAUCCACUCACGAAGCUAAGUGGGGUAGGCCUAGCUAGGCCGGGGCCUGCACAGUCAGCACCAUUUUUUUAAGGAAUAGUUUUAAUACAUUGUACAAUGUGUCUGGGUAAGGUACUGACGGGACUACACUACACUUGGUAAUGAUAACUUAUCAUUGCUUUCGACUUCGUGUCGAUGUAACGACGAUAGCAAACAUCCUCGUAAUCGUAUGCCUUUCCCUCAUCCAUUCCAAGAGGCACAUCCAUUCCUAGCCUAGUUAAGACACAAGUUUGUCAGCUAUAGUUCGGUUAAGACUGUCUAAAACUAUCCAUAAUUUGUUACAAGUAACAAUCUUCAAGAAUCUGGUUGCUGUAACUAGAAUUGGAGUUUCAUUAGCAAUUUCUUCGCGGUGAAAACAACACUUUGUAUUACAACACCGGCACACUGUCCGUCGCUAGUCGCCAUGUUGCUGUUUACUCUUGUUGUUUACUGUUGUUGGCUGUACCACAACACGUGAAGUUAUUGUAACAAAAUCAAUUUAAUAGUAGUCUAAAAAAUAUUAUUCUGUAAUUAAAAUACACAUUAUAUCUAAUUAUAAUUUUAAAAUUUGUUUUUAAAGCAGUAAUACGAAGUUCGCAAAUAAUAAACUACGUAUCAAAAAUACAAUAUUCGAACGAGUACAAUGACGUUUACAAAAUGUCGUGUGCUAAUCUAGCGCAAAGAACUUUCAAUUUCGUGUAAAGGUGGCAUCCUCCAUCGCAUUUGAAAUACUUGCAUUCUGGCGCCCUCAUACACUUCACAGCACAUCGAAUGCAGCUUCCUGUCGAGUUUUGAGUCGUUAUUGAACGAUGAAAGUUUAAAGACUUGUAAUAAGUUGAGUGUUCAGCCAUUUUGUCUGCACAAAAAUAUACAGAGUUCUGACCAAGAAACCCAGACUCAAAACUACCGGGCCUGUGUCCAGCAGAGGGUAGUCCUUACCUCUAAAUAAUUUGAUACCCGACUAACUGACUAGCAAAGCGUUCGAUAAAGUCAACCACUGGACGUUGUUUAAGACGCUGGUUGAACGAGGUACCCCCAACCCUGUUAUUCAAGUCCUUCGAUCAUGGUGUCGGUCGCAGGAGUUUGUUGUCAGGUAUGGUAGCUUCAUAUCUGAUCCUUUCUCCGUUAGGAACGGAGUGCGUCAAGGGGGAGUCAUGUCUCCAUUACUGUAUAAUGUAGUCACUGAUCCGCUUUAUGUACUUUUAGAUAAUCCUAAUGUCGGAUGUGAAUUAAACGGUACUAAAAUCAAUUGUUUAAGCCAUGCUGAUGAUCUGGUAUUUAUGGAUCCAUCAGCAGCAGGACUACAAAGUCUUAUUUAUUUUUGUAAUAUAGUUGCUAGUGAUUAUAAUAUCACGUUUCAUGAGUCUAAAUCAAAAUGUAUGGUAAUCUGUCCUAAGGUGCGUAACCUGCAAGGCGAGCCUCGUAUUACACUUAAAUCAUCCCCUUUGUUAUUUGUUAACCCUAUUUGUAACGGCAACCGCGUUACCUUAAGGUUGGGAUACAUUUCGACAUUUCCUGGCAAUGUCACGAACGCAGAAAUUGCUGUGGAGCAUGGAUGUUUUGUCAGUUUUUCUCCUCUUUAAUCUCCGACUCCAAGAUAAUUCGAUAAGUUAAUGUUUCAAAUUGUAAGUAAGUUUAACUAGUAUAAUCAAUAUAAUUCACAGUUAAUGUUAUCUUCUCAGUUUUCGUGAAUACACUACUAGUUUUAGUUGAGAUACGAGAUAUGCACGUGUAAAACCGUGUGUGUGUGUGCAGCCAUUGCUGUACAACUCAAUGUAGGCCUAUCAGUAAUUAACGAGUUUAGAUUUAAUAUUAUGAUGUUGGUAUUCUUUUGUGAGAAUAAUCACUAGCAUUAGUGUUAAUUGGAGAACUGAAUAACGUGUUAAAUUAUCGUGUACGCUUUUAAGAAGUUAUGUAUAUCAUGAUCAAAGCCUUUUGCCACUACAGGAAAUCUUGAAUAUCGUAUCGCUAGCAACGAACUUGUCACGAAGUUUCGUUCCGCUUGAGUGGGCUCGAGCGUGUUAUGAAUACAUUUUAUAUUACGCCCUCUAUUGUUUAUAUUCUGGUUCCCGUAUUAAAUUCAUAGAUUAUUGAUACUUAACAGAAGUUAACUAUGUUAUAAUACUAUGAAAAUUGUGAUUAUUGAUUGAUAUUAUGUUUAAUGAUUAACUUUAUUUUGAGAAUACGAUUAUAACUUCUUGUUCAUAGGAUGGAUAAAAUUUAGCUUCGCGUUGAACCUUGGAGAUGCAAAUACGUUUUCACCUUUCUUCAUCUAUCAAGUAUUGUUGAAUAAACACUUCAGAACAUA